AUCUAGCUUGCUAGAUGCUGACGAGUGGCGCACGGGUGCGUAACGCGUAUACAAUCUACCUUUAACUGAGGGAUAGCCCAGAGAAAUUUGGAUUAAUACCUCAUAGUAUUAUAAUUAGGCAUCUUUUUAUAAUUAAAACUUCGGUGGUUAAAGAUGAGUAUGCGUACUAUUAGCUAGUUGGUAAGGUAAAAGCUUACCAAGGCAACGAUAGUUAGGGGGCCUGAAAGGGUGAUCCCCCACACUGGUACUGAGACACGGACCAGACUCCUACGGGAGGCAGCAGUGAGGAAUAUUGCACAAUGGAGGAAACUCUGAUGCAGCCAUGCCGCGUGCAGGAAGAAUGCCCUAUGGGUUGUAAACUGCUUUUAUACAAGAAGAAACCUCGGUACGUGUACCGACUUGACGGUAUUGUAUGAAUAAGCACCGGCUAACUCCGUGCCAGCAGCCGCGGUAAUACGGAGGGUGCAAGCGUUAUCCGGAUUUAUUAGGUUUAAAGGGUCCGCA
Molecule: ribosomal RNA, 504 nt
Filed under: uncultured Bacteroidota bacterium
Lineage: Bacteria; Pseudomonadati; Bacteroidota
Description: bacterial SSU rRNA
Rfam family: Bacterial small subunit ribosomal RNA
Source: RNAcentral